GUCAUAUGUUUGACAUCCAAUAGCCGAUGAGAUCUAGUGAUGUCGUUAAACAAAACAAACUUUGGUAAAAAUUAAUAUACUUCAGACAUUUUUGGAUAUAUAUAUAUGUGGAUGAAGGAGAAACAACGUUCGAUGUGUGGGGAUUUUUAAAACCCAUAAUUACGACUAUCAUUAAAGUGCUAUACGUGCCUUAGUGGGAACAUUUUAUUACUGUUUCUCGUUGGACUUUCAUGUCAACUGACGUCGCGUUGGAAUUAGUACAGAAUUCUUGGAAAUCUGUUGACGAAGUGAACUAAAAAUAUCUAGGAUGGCUGGAUACACGGCACAGGCUGUUGGCUCUGCGAUGGAACGGACUCAAAACGUCAAACAAUGGGCAUACCACAGAACCCUGGAAAGGACAUCGUACGACUACAUACUAAUACCAGACUGUUUCUAUGACAGUAGUGAUGAAAUAGAGGUUCAGUCUUCGGAGGAAAUCUUACUCUGGAUUUGAAAGAAAGAAAGUCUGUGCUCCACUCAAAUCUGACCACAGCUUGGAUAACUUACUGGCUGACAUUGGACGGAAACUGAGUAAUGUCUCACGGGACAGUCUUGUUAGUAAUAUGGA
Gigantopelta aegis is the source of this 607-nucleotide long non-coding RNA. RefSeq lists it as uncharacterized. The record is from RefSeq and is a predicted model, not a curated record. NCBI's taxonomy places the organism in Eukaryota, Metazoa, Mollusca, Gastropoda, Neomphalida, Peltospiridae. The transcript is spliced from 3 exons.